Molecule: long non-coding RNA, 726 nt
Organism: Nicotiana attenuata
Lineage: Eukaryota; Viridiplantae; Streptophyta; Magnoliopsida; Solanales; Solanaceae
Exons: 2
Source: RefSeq, a predicted model, not a curated record
UUUAGGGAAUAUUCUGCCCUUUUAAUGCCUAAUAGUCGAAUGGUAUAUAAAUUGUAGUUGAAGUGUGGACUGAUCGGGUAAUUAACAAACUAUGCACAUUUAGGGUAAUAAGGUUUCAUAUAUGGUAUAGUUAGGAAAAAAUCCCUUUAUAUAGCAGUAAAGGAAAUUAGCCCAAAGUUUAUUUAUAAUUGAGCUUGUUGUUUUCUGUUAGUUCAUUUUCUCUGUACCAUACCAUGAAAUCAGCAUUUUUUUUUUACUCUGCAGCUACGAAAUUCUUUUCAUAGUGGACACAGAGAAGCACCGGACUGAAGGAACCAUACUUUACUUUUUGUUCAAUUCACUGCUGGUGUGCUUGCUUGUUCUUCACAUCUUUUGGAUGAGACUCAUAUUACGGAUGGUUAACGAUCUCAUAACAAAAGGCCACAUAACUGAUGAUGUCCGAUCAGAUUCUGAAUCCGAUGAUGAGCACAAAGACUAAUCCUUCAUUAAAUAAGAUUUAUUAAAAAAAAACAUGGAUUAUGAUUCAGCAAAGGUUCGAGGCAUUAUAGGCGUCGCUGAAAGGUAUUGUCUUGGGGGCACCAUUAAUUGAUGUUGAUGAACAAUUAAACUAGGAAAAUUACGGCCAAACCCUUUAUUCGGAGUUCCAAUAAUGUGUAUUUUGCCUAUAUGUAUAAAACGAGUUUCAUUAUUGGAAUUAUGAGCUCUUCGGAUGAACUUUCAAUUUAA